RNAcentral lists this ribosomal RNA (497 nucleotides) under uncultured bacterium. RNAcentral's name for it is "partial 16S ribosomal RNA". It matches the Rfam family "Bacterial small subunit ribosomal RNA", at positions 28 to 507 of the family's 1533-position model. The record is from RNAcentral.
GAUGAACGCUGGCGGCGUGCCUAAUACAUGCAAGUCGAGCGAACGGACGAGAAGCUUGCUUCUCUGAUGUUAGCGGCGGACGGGUGAGUAACACGUGGAUAACCUACCUAUAAGACUGGGAUAACUUCGGGAAACCGGAGCUAAUACCGGAUAAUAUUUUGAACCGCAUGGUUCAAAAGUGAAAGACGGUCUUGCUGUCACUUAUAGAUGGAUCCGCGCUGCAUUAGCUAGUUGGUAAGGUAACGGCUUACCAAGGCAACGAUGCAUAGCCGACCUGAGAGGGUGAUCGGCCACACUGGAACUGAGACACGGUCCAGACUCCUACGGGAGGCAGCAGUAGGGAAUCUUCCGCAAUGGGCGAAAGACUGACGGAGCAACGCCGCGUGAGUGAUGAAGGUCUUCGGAUAGUAAAACUCUGUUAUUAGGGAAGAACAUAUGUGUAAGUAACUGUGCACAUCUUGACGGUACCUAAUCAGAAAGCCACGGCUAACUACGUG